Molecule: transfer RNA, 54 nt
Filed under: Anathallis corticicola
Lineage: Eukaryota; Viridiplantae; Streptophyta; Magnoliopsida; Asparagales; Orchidaceae
Also listed under: 2 other names
Description: partial tRNA-Gln
Rfam family: tRNA
About the family: Transfer RNA (tRNA) molecules are approximately 80 nucleotides in length. Their secondary structure includes four short double-helical elements and three loops (D, anti-codon, and T loops).
Source: RNAcentral
AAGGCAACGGGUUUUGGUCCCGUUACUCGGAGGUUCGAAUCCUUCCGUCCCAGA